Molecule: long non-coding RNA, 462 nt
Organism: Perognathus longimembris pacificus (Pacific pocket mouse)
Lineage: Eukaryota; Metazoa; Chordata; Mammalia; Rodentia; Heteromyidae
Exons: 4
Source: RefSeq, a predicted model, not a curated record
CCAAGAGUAGCGGAAGUGACGACACGAAGUGCGCCAAUAAAUAGCCGUAGGCGGAACUUGACUCUCUCUCGGCCUUAGCGCCAUCUUCCUGGAAACCACUGCGCUAUGAGAGCCAAGUGGAGGAAGAAGCGAAUGCGCAGGCUGAAGCGCAAAAGAAGAAAGAUGAGGCAGAGGUCCAAGUAAGCAAGUUUGUGCACACGUCGAGGCCUGAGGAACAGAUACAAGGAAUGCCACAGGCCCAGACGCUGAUACGAGCUGGACUGCAAGCCGCUGUCUGCGAUUUCCCUGUGGAUCUUAGAACUUCCAUCGCCAAGACGAUCUCCGAAAGACACCCAUGUUGUUAAUAAUGGAGCACCCCCUGACGGUCCUGUGCCCUGGACCUGUGACAUUCUGGACUAGUUCUGUUCAUAGUUGUGGCUGAAUGUGACGUGUGUACAAUAAACCAUCUCUUUUGCUGUUGCA